AUUUGCAGUUCAUUGGUAGCCUAUGUCAGAUUCUCAUAGUCCUGCCAGUGUGAGACCUUUAGGGAAGGACUUUCCCUAUUGUAGCCUUUUAGUUUUUCGGUUGAGGGGUUUUGCCUAAUAUUCGUAAAUACUGAAAGCAAUCUCUAAGAAGGCUUGCUUUGUCAAGAAAGCACCUUACCAAAUACAAGUGGAUCAAUCCUCCAGCUCAAUGGCUGCUUCAUACUCUGUGCCUCAAAGCAUUGACCACCCUAGCACCAACAACCAGCAGGGUGAGGAAGGACCAGCAGAUUUCACUAGUGCCAGGAUUAAACGUUUGUUUCCACUUCUCAAACCACCCACCAUGUCUGAGAGUUCAAAACACUGCUGUGCCUGCUUGCAUCCCCCCUGCCAGGGUACAUGCUUCUGCAAAACCUGUCAGAGAAGAUGGGCAGGGAAGGCAAGGCAAGGCAAAGCAAGAUCAAGAUGCUGUGCUGCUGGGCCAGAAGUGAGUAGAACAUCUUGUUACGGAAAUAGCCACAAAAACGCUCCUCCCUGCAUUAGAAAAGCAGCUAUUUAGAGCAGGAUCAAUUGCCAGUCCUCUUUGCCGCUGUUGUCAUUUGGAUGUGGCAUGUGCAAAUAAUAUUUCCUCCUGAAAGAAAACUUCCAGCAAUGACAGCAGUGCUCUGGCAUAUCCUCUCCCAAAGGGGAGAAAUCAGCUCAUCCAUAGAAACGGCAUCUCCCUCUGGAAAGAAUCCCCAGGAUCUGGGUUUUGUUUUUCCUCUAAGACUUUAGGCAAGUGGAUUUUGAUCUGCUAAUGACAUCAGGGUGGUGCAAUUUCUAAGACGCGUUUUGACAUUGGAGUUGUAUAGGACAGUGCUCUUGUUAAAGUAAAAAUACACAGAGAAAACAAACAAACCUGUGUGACGUAGAGCAAAGCCCACUUUCCCCUAAGAUAUGCGUAAUAGAACUGGCAGUACAUGCCUUCAAAAGAGAUUGCUUUAACUUUAAUGAUGUCAGUGAGCAAAAAUACUUUUAUUCUUGGCAAAUCACAGUUGGGUGGUAUCUUUCAAAAAACUGGAGUUAUCAAACAUAGCUUUUCCAGGGAGGUGAACCCAUGCUUGGCUUAAGCAUCCUCAAACUUUCCUCUAGUUGAGAUUCACAUCUGUAUCCCUGCUCUACAGCUCAAGCCUGUUGCUGUUUGUUAUUGUUUGCAUUACUUCAGGGCCCACUUAGGGAUUGUACAAAAUGUUCUUGUAAAAAAAAUAAAUAUUGAAGUGUCCGUACA
RNAcentral lists this long non-coding RNA (1264 nucleotides) under Parus major (Great Tit). RNAcentral's name for it is "lncRNA (ENSPMJG00000001291.1)". The record is from RNAcentral. Lineage: Eukaryota; Metazoa; Chordata; Aves; Passeriformes; Paridae.